RNAcentral lists this unclassified non-coding RNA (369 nucleotides) under soil metagenome. RNAcentral describes it as "partial contains 5.8S ribosomal RNA, internal transcribed spacer 2, and large subunit ribosomal RNA". The stretch from base 1 to 120 matches the Rfam family "5.8S ribosomal RNA", at positions 35 to 154 of the family's 154-position model. The record is from RNAcentral.
GAUGAAGAACGUAGCGAAGUGCGAUAUGUAAUGUGAAUUGCAGAAUUCCGUGAAUCAUCGAAUCUUUGAACGCAAAUUGCACUUUCUGGUAUUCCGGAAAGUAUGCCUGUUUGAGGUUCAGUUAAAUAAAAAUCGGUGUUGUUGCUGCUUUUCGUGGUGACGCAUCGGAAUUGGGUCGUCUUACCUUCGGUUAAGUGACUUAAAAUUUUUUAUGAUUUUUGAACGUAUUUAAAUUUUUUUGUACGUUUGAGAUAUCGAAUGUUUAUUAGGUUCGGUCAUCCUCAUGACUCGCGCCUAUAAUUUUUCAUUAAAUGACCUCAAAUCAGGUAAGAAUACCCGCUGAACUUAAGCAUAUCAAUAAGCGGAGGA